This 385-nucleotide ribosomal RNA is filed under the name uncultured bacterium. RNAcentral describes it as "bacterial SSU rRNA". It matches the Rfam family "Bacterial small subunit ribosomal RNA", at positions 28 to 414 of the family's 1533-position model. The record is from RNAcentral.
GACGAACGCUGGCGGCGUGCUUAACACAUGCAAGUCGAGCGGUAAGGCCCUUUCGGGGGUACACGAGCGGCGAACGGGUGAGUAACACGUGGGUGACCUGCCCUCAGCUCUGGGAUAAGCCUGGGAAACCGGGUCUAAUACUGGAUAUGACUCCAUGACGCAUGUUGUGGGGUGGAAAGCCUUGUGCGGCUGAGGAUGGGCCCGCGGCCUAUCAGCUUGUUGGUGGGGUGGNGGCCUACCAAGGCGACGACGGGUAGCCGGCCUGAGAGGGCGACCGGCCACACUGGGACUGAGACACGGCCCAGACUCCUACGGGAGGCAGCAGUGGGGAAUCUUGCGCAAUGGGCGAAAGCCUGACGCAGCGACGCCGCGUGAGGGAUGACGG